GCUUCCACAUGCAGUCGAACGAGGUAGCAAUACCUAGUGGCGGACGGGUGAGUAACGCGUAGGAAUCUGCCUUUAAGUGGGGGAUAGCAAGCCGAAAGGCUUAUUAAUACCGCAUAAGUGUACGGUCGGACACGGCUGUACAUCAAAGGAGUAAUCCGCUUUUAGAGGAGCCUGCGUCCGAUUAGCUAGUUGGUGGGGUAAAGGCCCACCAAGGCGAUGAUCGGUAGGUGGUCUGAGAGGACGAUCACCCACAAUGGGACUGAGACACCGGCCCAUACUCCUACGGGAGGCAGCCAGUG
Molecule: ribosomal RNA, 299 nt
Filed under: uncultured cyanobacterium
Lineage: Bacteria; Bacillati; Cyanobacteriota
Description: partial 16S ribosomal RNA
Rfam family: Bacterial small subunit ribosomal RNA
Source: RNAcentral